CUUCCUUUUCUUUCUUUCAUUCGUUCUUCCGUCCUAUCUUCCUUUUUCUUUCCUUCUUUUUCUUCUCGUUCUUUCUUUCGUUUUUCCUUCUUCCUUCCUUCCUUUCCUUCUUCCUUCCUUCCUUUUUCUUUCUUUUAUUCUUUCUUGCUCUUGUUUCUUUCCUUCUUUUUUCCUUCUUCCUUCCUUCCUUCCUUUCUCUCUUUCCUUCUUUCUUCCUCCUUCCUUCCAGUCUUUCUUCAUUUCUCUUUCUUCCUUCCUUCCUUUCUUCCUCCCUUCCUUCCUUCCUCUUUCUUUCUUUCUUUCUUUCUUUCUUUCUUUCUUUCUUUUUCUUCCUUCCUUCCUUCCUUCCUUUUUCUUUCUUUCUUUCUUUCUUUCUUUCUUUCUUUUCAUUUCUUCCUUCCUUCCUUUUUCUUUCUUUCUUUCUUUCUUUCUUUCUUUCUUUCUUUUCUUUUCUUUUCUUUUCCUUCCUUCUUCUCUUUCUUUUUUCUUCCUUCCUUCCUUCCUUCCUUCCUUCCUUCCUUCCUUCCUUCCUUCCUUCCUUCCUUUCUUUCUAACUAAAGAAACUCCAAGAUAUCUUUCAACUCUAAAAGCCCAUUAUUUUAUGAUGCUGGAAGGCAUAGUUUCUUCCAU
RNAcentral lists this long non-coding RNA (630 nucleotides) under Monodelphis domestica (gray short-tailed opossum). RNAcentral's name for it is "lncRNA (ENSMODG00000040903.1)". Lineage: Eukaryota; Metazoa; Chordata; Mammalia; Didelphimorphia; Didelphidae. The record is from RNAcentral.